RNAcentral lists this ribosomal RNA (435 nucleotides) under uncultured bacterium. RNAcentral describes it as "partial 16S ribosomal RNA". It matches the Rfam family "Bacterial small subunit ribosomal RNA", at positions 29 to 507 of the family's 1533-position model. The record is from RNAcentral.
AGCGAACGCUGGCGGCAGGCUUAACACAUGCAAGUCGAGCGGGCAUAGCAAUAUGUCCGCGGCAGACGGGUGAGUAACGCGUGGGAACGUACCUUUUGGUUCGGAACAACACAGGGAAACUUGUGCUAAUACCGGAUAAGCCCUUACGGGGAAAGAUUUAUCGCCGAAAGAUCGGCCCGCGUCUGAUUAGCUAGUUGGUGAGGUAAUGGCUCACCAAGGCGACGAUCAGUAGCUGGUCUGAGAGGAUGAUCAGCCACAUUGGGACUGAGACACGGCCCAAACUCCUACGGGAGGCAGCAGUGGGGAAUAUUGGACAAUGGGCGCAAGCCUGAUCCAGCCAUGCCGCGUGAGUGAUGAAGGCCCUAGGGUUGUAAAGCUCUUUUGUGCGGGAAGAUAAUGACGGUACCGCAAGAAUAAGCCCCGGCUAACUUCGUG